RNAcentral lists this ribosomal RNA (482 nucleotides) under uncultured bacterium. RNAcentral describes it as "partial 16S ribosomal RNA". It matches the Rfam family "Bacterial small subunit ribosomal RNA", at positions 29 to 523 of the family's 1533-position model. The record is from RNAcentral.
AAUGAACGUUGGCGGCGUGGAUUAGGCAUGCGAGUCGUGCGAGAACCGUAGCAAUACGGGGACAGCGGCGAAAGGGAGAGGAACACGUGGGUACCUACCCUCGGAUUCAGGAUAGCCAUGGGAAACUAUGGGUAAUACUGAAUAACGUCUCCGGACCAAAGGUGUGAUUCCGUCCGGGGAGGGGCCCGCGUCCUAUUAGCUAGUUGGCGAGGUAACGGCUCACCAAGGCGAAGAUGGGUACGAGAUGUGAGAGCAUAAUCUCGCUCAUUGGGACUGAGACACUGCCCAGACACCUACGGGUGGCUGCAGUCGAGAAACUUCGGCAAUGGGGGAAACCCUGACCGAGCGACGCCGCGUGUGAGAUGAAGGCCUUCGGGUUGUAAAUCACUGUCGUAGGGGAGGAAAUACUGGUGGGUUCUCCCAUCAGCUUGACCUAUCCUAGGAGGAAGGACGGGCUAAGUUCGUGCCAGCAGCCGCCGUAA